CCUCUGCGUCUGCAGGAGGGAGGACAGCAGUCCAAUGUCCCUGUCACACAAAGCUUCCCUAUAUGGGAUCUGCUGGGCUCACAGGGACUGGUAAGGGCCCCUGUGUCACAGCAAGGACCUCUGCUGCUCUCUGUCCUGUAACCAGGGUGUAAAGCGAAACAAUCUGAUCCCAUUGCUUCCUGGAGCGAUGGCUUCCCCUGUCCCCUCCAGGCUCACCUGUGAGGCUUCUUCCCUCACAGCCACCUGCAGCUUUGCUCCCACCUUUCCUCAGCUGGCCAGGGGGGACCCCAGAGCAGGAAUGAUCAAUAUUGAUCUUCACUUAUGGAUGCGAGUCUGCAUACGAGAUGAUUAAUCUGAAGACCUCACUCUGGAAAAACAGCCAGUGAGUUCUCGAAGAUACAAGAAUGCAGUUCAUUAUUUUAAAAGUUAUUAUCUUUCUAGAUGUAAUAGGUCCGCAGAAAAAUCUGUAGAAUGUACAUGGAACAGCUUACUGACUGGUAAAUGAGCAUCUGCAUACUUGCCACCAAAUCAAGAAACAGCAUAUUGGACCCAAGUUCACAGCACAGCCUCCCUCCCGACAAAGGUUCCGCUGACUCCGUUCAAAACCCCUUCCUCGUGUUUAUACUCCAUCACGGAGGCACGCACCCCGCGACCUGCCUACGCUCUGAGCGUUAUCUGAAUGGAACCACAGGGCGUGACCACUGCAUGUCGCCUCUUUUCGUCUGACUUGAUGUCUGGUCUUGGACGUGUCUCUAGUCCCCUCACUUUCACUGCUGGGCACUAGGCGUUGUUUGCACAUGCCGCCGUUCGUCCGUUUGACCGACGGUGAGCUUUGGUGGUUGCUAGUUUGGGGAUGUCGUGAAUAAAGCUGUUGUGGGCCUGCUUAGGCGCAUGCACAGGUGUGUGCACAGGUGCACUGGGGCGUGCAUCUGUGGGAUCCUGAUAUAUACGUUCAGCUUUUUGUGCCCUUUUUAAAAUUAACAUGAUUUACAGAAAUGCAAUAACAAUCACUGAAUUUAAGUGUACAAUUUAAUGAGUUUAGACUGCCAUAUGUACUGGUGUUAAGUCGCCGCCACAGCCGUGACAGGACAAUUCCAGUCUCCCCAAAACUUCCCCUCCUCCAACCCAGGUUUUACAAAACUGCCCGUCUGCUUUCUGUCGCUAUAGUUUUCAUAUAAAAUUUCAUACGCCUGGAAUCAGAAAGUAUGUAGUCUUUAUGUCUGGCUGCUUUCCCCUGGUGUAAUGCUUAGGUUUUAUUCAUUCGUUUCUCCUGCUCAGUGGAAUGCCACCAAAAUGUGUUUAUCUGUUCACAAAAUGGAAGUAUUCGGUUCUUUCCAUUUGGACUUAAUGUGAAUAAAGCUAUUCGUAUUCAGGUA
This is a long non-coding RNA of Pteropus alecto (black flying fox), 1376 nucleotides long. RefSeq lists it as uncharacterized. NCBI's taxonomy places the organism in Eukaryota, Metazoa, Chordata, Mammalia, Chiroptera, Pteropodidae. The transcript is spliced from 2 exons. The record is from RefSeq and is a predicted model, not a curated record.